Molecule: long non-coding RNA, 933 nt
Organism: Patella vulgata (common limpet)
Lineage: Eukaryota; Metazoa; Mollusca; Gastropoda; Patellidae
Exons: 3
Source: RefSeq, a predicted model, not a curated record
UUGCGUGAAUUUCGUUUGACAUUCAUCGGAUCUUUAUUUCAGCGAGGUAAUAAAAUCAGUGACUCGCGAAAAUAGGUACACCAUGAUAACAGAAGAAAACCCUUUACAGAUAUCUUGCAAUUAUGAUAAAGACUUUAGGCGUGCAUCUUAUUUUCAUAACAACAGAACGAAUAAGUAUUUUACCUGUCGGUAGCCUUUGAUUUUUACGCUAGUUUGGUAAAUGGGCAAUAAAACUGGAAAUUUGAGUCAUAUAACAUUGUAAUAGAAUGCCCCGUGUUGAAGACAUCAAUGGACAUCCUGUGUGGAUGGAGUAGUAAGAUUUUUAAAACUAACCAUUUAAAGUUGUUAAGCUUUUAAACCGAGCGAUUUACACAACAAAGUUACGGGAAGGUGAUAUACUGCUCCUACAACAUCAAAGACCACACGUAUAUGUAUGUAUAUACUGAAUCAAAGGACUUCAGGAAGGCAUCACUUCAUUUUUCCUAAUUUAAUCGGUUGGGGAGUGUUGUGAAAGGGACCAGGCGUUACGAACAAGGGUAAUUUAAAUAUUACGGGAACAUCAAAGAGAUGGUUAUGUUCGUUAUACUGGUAUGUAAUGGGGAACAUUCAAAUAGAGUUCGCCAUUACACAGGAAAAACUCAAGAAAUAUGUUAGACUGACACGUUUCCUAACAAAAUUACUCUUCUUGUAUGUAUAAUUAAAAUAUUAAUAAAAUAUACAAUAUUAAUACUUUUCUGUUAAAAUUAUCCUUUUAAUUCUUACUUGUCAUGACACUUUUCCCAUCUUCACUUACAAUGUACUUGUUCAUUCAAAUUCCAUUCUCUAGAGGAUGGCAUACUGCCAUAGCAUUUAAUAAACCCCAAUUAUGCAUACUUUAAAUAGUUAGAAAUGUAAUUUUCUGAAAAUUCUUAGUUAAUUCUGAGAAUUAUUUUG